Molecule: unclassified non-coding RNA, 185 nt
Filed under: uncultured fungus
Lineage: Eukaryota; Fungi
Description: sequence contains ITS1, 5.8S rRNA gene
Source: RNAcentral
GAGAAUUUAUGAGAGCUUCAUGCUUUCUAAAAUACCCUAUAAACCAUAAACACCUGUGCACCUUUUUUAUUAGGAAUCUGUUGCUGUAGUUACUAGUCUCUUCGGGGACAAACGCUUGGCGACCUUUUCUUAUACACACACAAACAUUAUAGUCUUGAAUGUAAUACAAAAUUGUAACAAAAAUA